Molecule: long non-coding RNA, 3156 nt
Organism: Salvelinus fontinalis (brook trout)
Lineage: Eukaryota; Metazoa; Chordata; Actinopteri; Salmoniformes; Salmonidae
Exons: 3
Source: RefSeq, a predicted model, not a curated record
GAAAGGAUAAGACCUUGUGAGUGUGACAGGAAGAAAGCAAUACCCAUGUUAGCUAAGAUGCAGAAAUUAUUAUGAAGUUAGCAUGGCAGUGUAGCAAACUCAACAACAACUGAACAAAGUUGUCUUGCGGAAGUGUGUGGAAGUAAGUUAGUCGUUGAACCUGCUACAAGAUGAAGCUGCCCGGCUAGAGCUACCUGCUGCAGAAAAGAGAAAAGCACAGUAUGGCAUCUCAGCUGAUCAUCAUGAACUUCAUGUAGUUACAAUACAUCAACCAAUACAGAUUAUUGUGAACGGCAUCUCAGAACGCACAACUCGUCGGUCCUUAUUACAGAUAAGCUAUUGCAGCAGACGACCACACCUGGUUCCACUCCUAUCAGCUAAAAACAAGAAUAACCGGCUCCAGUGGGCACGCGAUCACCAACACCUGGACAAUUGAGGAGUGGAAAAACAUAGCCUGGUCUGAUGAAUCCUGGUUCCUGUUGCGUCAUGCUGACGGAUGAGUUACGAUUUGGUAUAAGAAGCAUAAGUCCAUGGCCCCAUAAUGCCAAUUGAGCAACGCUUCCAUGCCCCAAAGAAUUCAGGCUAUUCUUGAAGCAAAGGAAGGUCCGACCCGGUACUAAAUGGGCGUACCUAAUAAACUGGCGACUGAGUGUAUGUUUCUAUUUUAUGCAGAACUGGGAGGUUGUAAAAAGGGGAUGAGAUUACAUUAAAACAUUAUUAGGUCUAUAUUCUAAAAUACAAUGGUAGGUAGUUGACUGAACUUUAUAAACAAAUGUGAAUAUUCAUCAUUUAUUAUUAUUAGAAUUCCAAUUAUUAUUAACAAUCAAACAAUGUUUCCCAUUUUAAAGUCAAUUAUGAGCAGGUGACCUAAUAACAUAAUACCCUCACAUCUGGCCUAUGCCUAUAUCUCUUUCAUAUCUCUUUCACACUCUAUGACACAUGCAUGCAAAAAAGACAGACUCACUCACCGAAGCUCUAAUUUUCUCCCAUUGGCACACACACUCUGCCAACCAGUCAAGCGGAUCUCUCUCUCUCGAACGGGCACAGUAAUAGUUAAAAAAUGGGCAUGGAAUACAGCAGUUCGCAAUACUGCCUAUGACGCUUAAUGUGCUGUUACUGUAAUAUCUGCAUAUAAAGUUCCUUCAGAAGGUAUUCAUACCCCUUGACUAUUUUCCAUUUUGUUGUGUUACAGCCUUAAUUCAAAAUGGAUUAAAUACACACAAUACACAAUACACAAUGACAAAGUGAAAAUACUUUUUUUGUGCAAAUAUAUUGAAAAUGAAAUACAAAAAUAUCUAGUUUACAUACAGUACAAGUCAAAAGUUUGGACACACCUCAUUCAUGGGUUUUUCUUAAUUUGUACUAUUUUCUACAUUGUAGAAUAGUACUGUAGUGAAGACAUCAAAAUUAUGAAAUAACACAUAUGGAAUCAUGUAGUAACCAAAAAAGUGUUAAACAAAUAAAAAUAUAUUUUAUAUUAUUUUAAGUAGCCAACCUUUGCCUUGAUUACAGCUCUGCACACUCUUGGCAUUCUCUCAACCAGCUUCACCUGGAAUGCUUUUCCAACUGUCUUGAAGCAUUUCCCACAUAUGCUGAGCACUUGUUGGCUGCUUUUCCUUCACUCGGUCCAACUCAUCCCAAACCAUCUCAAUUGGGUUGAAGUCGGGUGAUUGUGGAGGCCAGGUCAUCUGAUGCAGGUGUGUUGGGUCAGUGUCCUGUUGAAAAACAAAUUAUAGUCCCACUAAGCGCAAACCAGAUAGGAUGGCGUAUCGCUGCAGAACGCUGUGGUAGCCAUGUUGGUUUAAGUGUGCCUUAAAUUCUGAAUAAAUCCCAGACAGUGUCACCAGCAAUGCACCUCCACACCUCCUCCUCCAUGCUUCACGGUGGGAACCACACAUGCGGAGAUCAUCUGUUCACCUACUCUGCGUCUCACAAAGACACAGUGGUUGGAACCAAAAAUCUAAUUUUGAUUCAUCAGCCCAAAGGACAGAUUUCCACCUUUCUAAUUUCUGAAAUCCUCAGAUGUUUCCUAAUGACACAAAAUGUAAUUUAAUUGUCAUUGGGGUACAAUUAGGACUAAAAUAAUAGUGUCCCAGUUUAUCUAACCUGCUCUCCCAGUCUACCAAAGGGAAACUGAAAAUAUGGUUUUGACUCAGUGUACACAAAUGGGUGUGUCAUGCAUCCUGUGAAUAUGAUAUCAAAAUGUUAUUGAAUUAUUUUGACUAGAAAACAUCUUGACAAAUUCAGAAAUGUAUCAUGUUGUGCUAAUGUGUUGAACAUCUGAAAUCUAUGAAUGAAAUAUUUUACACACACAUGAAGGUAACCAUAACAAAUCAUUUAUAAUAAAAAAAACAUAAAUGUGAAAAAUUGGUGGAUUUAGCAUUUUCAAAAUAAACUCAUCAAAUUAAGAUCUGUAAAGAAAGUGGAGCAUCGAGAAGUGGCAACAAACACAAGACAAAGUAAGAACGCAAAAUAUAUUGGCAAAGGAAGGAAAAUAAUUUCACAGUAGUUACAACGAAACUGGCCAAAUUGUUAGCCUUAUGGGGAGUAUUUCAUAGUCAUAGCCUACACAUGUUUUACAUCAGUAGAAAACAGGGUUGUUGUCAAUUCUGAAUUGAGUUCCAAUACCAUUGAAAUUCUUGAAUUUGAAUUUGAGUAGGCCAUACCCCCACAUGAAGCAGAAUUAAUUAAUUACAUUUGUAGAAUUAAUUAAUUGAAUUUGUAGAAUUAGUAGAAUUAAAUUACAUUCUUAUUUAUUCUUCACAUCAUGUAUGGUUACCAAGUACCAUGUAGCAUAAUGUUGAAACAUUUCAUUUUUAAAACUGAUUCUCCUGAAACAAUUUUAAGUAAUUACAGUGGUCUGGAAAUAUUCUAAGACCAUGUUCUGGGUUGUCUAUGAUAAUUAAUCAUUCCCUUAAUGUUUUUACAUAUCAGAAAAAAAUACAUUUCCCAGAAUGCAUUAGAUCAAACACUACAGUAUGGAAGGGAAUGAUGUUAACAUCUCAAGCCAAAUACGAAUAUUGUUUGACGUCUUUGAGUUAUAAUCAAAGUAAUAUUUGAAAAUGUAUGUGUAUUCUUUGCGUUAAUAUGUGGCAUAACCUUUGAUAAAUAAUUUGUCAAAUAAAUGAGACUUUCAUGUUUCACAUCUCAGUUGAA